GUUUUAAUAGUUUAGAUGUAAAAUAAUGAUCUUGUAAAUCAUAGAGAGGAUUUCCUUUAAAACU
Molecule: transfer RNA, 64 nt
Filed under: Coleoptera sp. 3 KM-2017
Lineage: Eukaryota; Metazoa; Arthropoda; Insecta; Coleoptera
Description: tRNA-Thr
Rfam family: tRNA
About the family: Transfer RNA (tRNA) molecules are approximately 80 nucleotides in length. Their secondary structure includes four short double-helical elements and three loops (D, anti-codon, and T loops).
Source: RNAcentral